Molecule: ribosomal RNA, 465 nt
Filed under: uncultured bacterium
Lineage: Bacteria
Description: partial 16S ribosomal RNA
Rfam family: Bacterial small subunit ribosomal RNA
Source: RNAcentral
UCCUCCCUCUGGCGGCGUGCUUAACACAUGCAAGUCGUACGGUAAGGCCCUUUCGGGGGUACACGAGUGGCGAACGGGUGAGUAACACGUGAGUAACCUGCCCACAACUUUGGGAUAACGCUAGGAAACUGGUGCUAAUACUGGAUAUGUGCUCCUGCUGCAUGGUGGGGGUUGGAAAGCUCCGGCGGUUGUGGAUGGACUCGCGGCCUAUCAGCUUGUUGGUGGGGUAGUGGCCUACCAAGGCGGCGACGGGUAGCCGGCCUGAGAGGGUGACCGGCCACAUUGGGACUGAGAUACGGCCCAGACGCCUACGGGAGGCAGCAGUGGGGAAUAUUGCACAAUGGGCGCAAGCCUGAUGCAGCAACGCCGCGUGCGGGAUGACGGCCUUCGGGUUGUAAACCGCUUUCAGCAGGGACGAAGCUUUUUGUGACGGUACCUGCAGAAGAAGCACCGGCUAACUACGUG